This 290-nucleotide ribosomal RNA is filed under the name uncultured microorganism. Its description in RNAcentral is "partial 16S ribosomal RNA". It matches the Rfam family "Bacterial small subunit ribosomal RNA", at positions 346 to 653 of the family's 1533-position model. The record is from RNAcentral.
GCGCAGCAGUCGCGAAUCUUCCCCAAUGGACGAAAGUCUGAGGGAGCGACGCCGCGUGAAUGAAGAAGCCCUUCGGGUGUAAAUUCUUUCUUUAGGAAAAUUCGUGAUGGUACUAAAGGAAUAAGGGGCCGCCAAACUCGUGCCAGCAGGCGGCGGUAAUACGAGUGCCCCGAGCGUUAUCCGGAAUUACUGGGCCGUAAAGCGCUAAAAGGCGGUUUGAUAAGUCAGACGUCAAAUCUCCGAGCUCAACUCGGAGCCGGUGUCUGAGACUGUCUAACUUGAGGACGGAA